RNAcentral lists this transfer RNA (76 nucleotides) under Planctomycetota bacterium. Its description in RNAcentral is "Planctomycetes bacterium (activated sludge metagenome) tRNA-Arg". It matches the Rfam family "tRNA". Rfam says of the family: Transfer RNA (tRNA) molecules are approximately 80 nucleotides in length. Their secondary structure includes four short double-helical elements and three loops (D, anti-codon, and T loops). Lineage: Bacteria; Pseudomonadati; Planctomycetota. The record is from RNAcentral.
GCCGCAGCAGCUCGAUCGGACGAGCAUCCCGGUCCUAACGGGAAGGGUGCCGGUUCGAUCCCGGCCUGCGGUUCCA